Molecule: ribosomal RNA, 253 nt
Filed under: uncultured bacterium
Lineage: Bacteria
Description: partial 16S ribosomal RNA
Rfam family: Bacterial small subunit ribosomal RNA
Source: RNAcentral
CACGUAGGGCGCAAGCGUUGUCCGGAAUUAUUGGGCGUAAAGAGCUCGUAGGCGGUCUGUUGCGUCCGCUGUGAAAACCCGGGGCUUAACCCCUGGCUUGCAGUGGAUACGGACAGACUAGAGGUAGGUAGGGGAGGAUGGAAUUCCCGGUGUAGCGGUGAAAUGCGCAGAUAUCGGGAGGAACACCGGUGGCGAAGGCGGUUCUCUGGGCCUUACCUGACGCUGAGGAGCGAAAGCGUGGGGAGCGAACAGG